UACGGGAGGCAGCAGUGGGGGAAUAUUGCACAAUGGGCGCAAGCCUGAUGCAGCCAUGCCGCGUGUAUGAAGAAGGCCUUCGGGUUGUAAAGUACUUUCAGUCGUGAGGAAGGUGUUAAGGUUAAUAACCUUAGCAAUUGACGUUAGCGACAGAAGAAGCACCGGCUAACUCCGUGCCAGCAGCCGCGGUAAUACGGAGGGUGCGAGCGUUAAUCGGAAUUACUGGGCGUAAAGGGCACGCAGGCGGUUAAUUAAGUUGGAUGUGAAAUCCCCGGGCUUAACCUGGGAAUGGCAUUCAAGACUGGUUAGCUAGAGUCUUGUAGAGGGGGUAGAAUUCCAUGUGUAGCGGUGAAAUGCGUAGAGAUGUGGAGGAAUACCGGUGGCGAAGGCGGCCCCUGGACAAAGACUGACGCUCAUGUGCGAAAGCGUGGGGAGCGAAAC
Molecule: ribosomal RNA, 441 nt
Filed under: uncultured bacterium
Lineage: Bacteria
Description: bacterial SSU rRNA
Rfam family: Bacterial small subunit ribosomal RNA
Source: RNAcentral